RNAcentral lists this ribosomal RNA (496 nucleotides) under uncultured bacterium. RNAcentral's name for it is "partial 16S ribosomal RNA". It matches the Rfam family "Bacterial small subunit ribosomal RNA", at positions 30 to 523 of the family's 1533-position model. The record is from RNAcentral.
AUUGAACGCUGGCGGAAUGCUUUACACAUGCAAGUCGAACGGUAGAGGGGGCAACCCCUCGAGAGUGGCGAACGGGUGAGUAAUAUAUCGGAACGUGCCCAGUCGUGGGGGAUAACGUAGCGAAAGUUACGCUAAUACCGCGUACGAUCUAAGGAUGAAAGCGGGGGAUCGCAAGACCUCGCGCGAUUGGAGCGGCCGAUAUCAGAUUAGGUAGUUGGUGGGGUAAAGGCUCACCAAGCCAACGAUCUGUAGCUGGUCUGAGAGGACGACCAGCAACACUGGAACUGUGACACGGUCCAGACUCCUACGGGAGGCAGCAGUGGGGAAUUUUGGACAAUGGACGCAAGUCUGAUCCAGCCAUUCCGCGUGCAGGAUGAAGGCCCUCGGGUUGUAAACUGCUUUUGUACGGAACGAAAAGGUCUCUCUUAAUACGGGGGACUCAUGACGGUACCGUAAGAAUGAGCACCGGCUAACUACGUGCCAGCAGCCGCCGUAA